Molecule: ribosomal RNA, 249 nt
Filed under: uncultured bacterium
Lineage: Bacteria
Description: partial 16S ribosomal RNA
Rfam family: Bacterial small subunit ribosomal RNA
Source: RNAcentral
GAGUUUGAUCGUGGCUCAGGAUGAACGCUGGCGGCGUGCCUAACACAUGCAAGUCGAACGAAGCAAUUAAGAUGAAGUUUUCGGAUGGAAUCUUGAUUGACUGAGUGGCGGACGGGUGAGUAACGCGUGGAUAACCUGCCUCACACUGGGGGAUAACAGUUAGAAAUGACUGCUAAUACCGCAUAAGCGCACAGUGCCGCAUGGCAGUGUGUGAAAAACUCCGGUGGUGUGAGAUGGAUCCGCGUCUGA